AUGCAGUAAUGCAAGCUACACUUUUCUUGAGAAGUGCUAUGCCUUUCUGCAGAUCCUUGUGCGUUUCUAUUGAGUGCAGGGAAGCAGAAGCAUAGUUGAAACUACUACUACUGGAAGAAUCCAACCGAGGUUUUCUAUCAGAUUCCAUCGAGGUAACUCCAAAGUUACUUGAAGUUCCAGAAUUACUGCUACUUCUGUCGUACCAUGAAGCUUCCCCACCUGAAGAGCAAAAGUUUUGGCGCGGAAUAAAAAGUGGGUACUCG
This 263-nucleotide unclassified non-coding RNA is filed under the name Hevea brasiliensis (rubber tree). The record is from RNAcentral. Lineage: Eukaryota; Viridiplantae; Streptophyta; Magnoliopsida; Malpighiales; Euphorbiaceae.